RNAcentral lists this non-coding RNA (24 nucleotides) under Arabidopsis thaliana (thale cress). Lineage: Eukaryota; Viridiplantae; Streptophyta; Magnoliopsida; Brassicales; Brassicaceae. The record is from RNAcentral.
GUGAAAGUGGUAAGUUGCCUGGAU